Molecule: ribosomal RNA, 497 nt
Filed under: uncultured bacterium
Lineage: Bacteria
Description: partial 16S ribosomal RNA
Rfam family: Bacterial small subunit ribosomal RNA
Source: RNAcentral
GAUGAACGCUGGCGGCGUGCCUAAUACAUGCAAGUCGAGCGAACAGACGAGGAGCUUGCUCCUCUGACGUUAGCGGCGGACGGGUGAGUAACACGUGGAUAACCUACCUAUAAGACUGGGAUAACUUCGGGAAACCGGAGCUAAUACCGGAUAAUAUAUUGAACCGCAUGGUUCAAUAGUGAAAGACGGUUUUGCUGUCACUUAUAGAUGGAUCCGCGCCGCAUUAGCUAGUUGGUAAGGUAACGGCUUACCAAGGCAACGAUGCGUAGCCGACCUGAGAGGGUGAUCGGCCACACGGGAACUGAGACACGGUCCAGACUCCUACGGGAGGCAGCAGUAGGGAAUCUCCCGCAAUGGGCGAAAGCCUGACGGAGCAACGCCGCGUGAGUGAUGAAGGUCUUCGGAUCGUAAAACUCUGUUAUUAGGGAAGAACAAAUGUGUAAGUAACUAUGCACGUCUUGACGGUACCUAAUCAGAAAGCCACGGCUAACUACGUG